RNAcentral lists this long non-coding RNA (660 nucleotides) under Ursus maritimus (polar bear). Its description in RNAcentral is "lncRNA (ENSUMAG00000009399.1)". The record is from RNAcentral. Lineage: Eukaryota; Metazoa; Chordata; Mammalia; Carnivora; Ursidae.
CCCGCGCUGCAUCCACGUCGACACGAGCCAGUGCUGCCCGCAGUGCAAGGAGAGGAAGAACUACUGCGAAUUCCGGGGCAAGACCUACCAGACUCUGGAGGAGUUCGUGGUGUCUCCGUGUGAGCGUUGCCGCUGCGAAGCCAACGGGGAGGUGCUCUGCACAGUGUCCGCGUGUCCUCAGACGGAGUGUGUGGACCCCGUGUACGAGCCUGACCAGUGCUGCCCCAUCUGCAAAAACGGCCCAAACUGCUUUGCGGAAACGGCUGUCAUCCCAGCUGGAAGAGAAGUCAAGACUGACGAAUGUACCAUAUGUCACUGCACUUACGAAGAAGGCACGUGGAGGAUUGAGAGACAGGCCAUGUGCACGAGGCACGAGUGCAGACAAAUGUAGAAAUGGGACCACACACACACACACACACACACACAAACAGACAUUUUUCUAGAAUAUUUUACUGAUGGGAACAUUCUAGAUGACUCUGGGGAAUAGCAUUCAACAGGAGAAGACUUUGGAUGAGGGUCAUGGAACAUGGUUGGUACUUUUGCAUUUCUUGGUGAAGAGUUACUGCAAAAGAAGGAAAUGGGUAUAUUUCAAAACAUCCACAAGAAUUUUGGGCAUAAACCCCCUCUCUAAAUAAAUGUGCUAUUUUCACAGUAAGUGCA